RNAcentral lists this ribosomal RNA (450 nucleotides) under uncultured bacterium. RNAcentral describes it as "partial 16S ribosomal RNA". It matches the Rfam family "Bacterial small subunit ribosomal RNA", at positions 354 to 796 of the family's 1533-position model. The record is from RNAcentral.
GUGGGGAAUUUUGGACAAUGGGGGCAACCCUGAUCCAGCAAUGCCGCGUGCAGGAAGAAGGCCUUCGGGUUGUAAACUGCUUUUGUACGGAACGAAAAGGCUCUGGUUAAUACCUGGGGCUCAUGACGGUACCGUAAGAAUAAGCACCGGCUAACUACGUGCCAGCAGCCGCGGUAAUACGUAGGGUGCAAGCGUUAAUCGGAAUUACUGGGCGUAAAGCGUGCGCAGGCGGUUUUGUAAGACAGGCGUGAAAUCCCCGGGCUCAACCUGGGAAUGGCGCUUGUGACUGCAAGGCUGGAGUGCGGCAGAGGGGGAUGGAAUUCCGCGUGUAGCAGUGAAAUGCGUAGAUAUGCGGAGGAACACCGAUGGCGAAGGCAAUCCCCUGGGCCUGCACUGACGCUCAUGCACGAAAGCGUGGGGAGCAAACAGGAUUAGAUACCCUUGUAGUCC